This 89-nucleotide transfer RNA is filed under the name Laccaria bicolor S238N-H82. It matches the Rfam family "tRNA". Rfam says of the family: Transfer RNA (tRNA) molecules are approximately 80 nucleotides in length. Lineage: Eukaryota; Fungi; Basidiomycota; Agaricomycetes; Agaricales; Hydnangiaceae. The record is from Rfam by way of RNAcentral.
GCCCGCCUAGCUCAAUCGGAUAGAGCGUCAGACUUUUAAAGAAGGCGGGGGAGAUCUGAAGGCUGCGAGUUCGACCCUCGCGGUGGGCU